AUUUUGGACAAUGGGGGAAACCCUGAUCCAGCCAUCCCGCGUGUAUGAUGAAGGCCUUCGGGUUGUAAAGUACUUUGGCAGAGAAGAAAAGGUAUCUCCUAAUACGAGAUACUGCCGCCGGUAUCUGCAGAAUAAGCACCGGCUAACUACGUUCCAGCCGCCGCGGUAAUACGGAGGGUUCAACCCUUAAUCGGAAUUACUGGGCGUAAAGCAUGGAUAGGCGGUUCGGAAAGAAAGAUGUGAAAUCCCAGGGCUCAACCUUGGAACUGCAUUUUUAACUGCCGAGCUAGAGUAUGUCAGGGGGGGGUAGAAUUCCACGUGUAGCAGUGAAAGGCGUAGAUAUGUGGAGGAAUACCGAUGGCGAAGGCAGCCCCCUGGGAUAAUACUGACGCUCAGACACGAAAGCGUGGGGAGCAAACAG
Molecule: ribosomal RNA, 421 nt
Filed under: uncultured bacterium
Lineage: Bacteria
Description: partial 16S ribosomal RNA
Rfam family: Bacterial small subunit ribosomal RNA
Source: RNAcentral